RNAcentral lists this long non-coding RNA (1014 nucleotides) under Monodelphis domestica (gray short-tailed opossum). RNAcentral describes it as "lncRNA (ENSMODG00000043695.1)". Lineage: Eukaryota; Metazoa; Chordata; Mammalia; Didelphimorphia; Didelphidae. The record is from RNAcentral.
GAUGAACCUAGAUGCCUCUUUUUUUUUUUUUGGAAAGUUUUUAGAAAAUACCCUUAGCCUCAUGGACAUAAAGAUGAAAAUCUUUGUUAUAAUUUGGAAUGCCAAGGGCAGGAGUGGUUAGGAUAGCUUGUUUUAAAGUGGAUAGAGCAGUUCUUUUGUGAGCUUCAAUGGCUCCUCAACUUCAUCUUUUGUCAGACCUGUGAGACACUUGGAAAUAAGUGAAUAUCCUGAGAUUAUAAUGACAUGAGAACCCAGUAGUGCCCAGGAAUGCCCUAAGUUGAUUUUUUGUACGUGGAAUACCUAGUUUCUGUAUAUCUGCUAUUCUCUUACUAGAUAUUUUCCUGGUGCCCUUUUCCAGGAUAAAACCUAGGUACUUGACUUUUGGAAGAACCCAUUGCAACUUUGUUUUUGAGACCGUAUGUCCUCUUUUGUACAAUUCGAUUAGCAGCCUCUUUGAGUCUUCUAGGCAUGUUUUUGCAUUAGGGGAUGCCAGAAGCAGAUCAUCCACAUAAUGAACUAGCUUGCUGUGUUUGAAUUUUAUAUUUUCUAGGUCUCUUUUCAGCAGCUGGAAGAAAUUAAUGCACUCUCACAACAUCCCUGCACUAAACGAGUCCAGCAGAGCUUAUUUUCUUCCACGAGAACGCAAAUAUACUUUGGCUAUCGGGAUGGAGAGGAAUCUUAAAAUAUGCAUUGCUUAAGUCAAUUACAGUAUAUCAUAAUGCGUUGCUAGGAAUCUCAGAAAUAAUGUCAUUGGAAGAUGGUGUGAUGGUGUGGGUUUUCUUGAUUAUAUUAUUGAUUGCUCUGAGAUCCUGCACAAGUCACCAAUUUACUGUACCAUCAGAAAUUGGCUUGCUCUUUUUAAUAGCUAGUAUUGGGCUAUUAUAUUCUGACACUGUGUGUCUCAAUAUGCCCUGCUCCAGCAAGACUGUUCAUAAAGAGAUGUAAUAGCCUGCUGCUGAUCAGUGGUCUCAUCAAGCUGUCCCCAAAAUAAUAGAGGAUAAUGUUUCAGGGAUU